Long non-coding RNA from Juglans microcarpa x Juglans regia, 803 nucleotides. RefSeq lists it as uncharacterized. NCBI's taxonomy places the organism in Eukaryota, Viridiplantae, Streptophyta, Magnoliopsida, Fagales, Juglandaceae. The record is from RefSeq and is a predicted model, not a curated record. The transcript has 4 exons.
AAGUUGAAAAGGCACACAUCCUCUCCUGUCUGCGCUUCUAGACCGGCCACGACAAGGGGUCGAAUCCCAUGCACCAAGUCUGGAAAAUGCCGAGCAAGAAGUAGACGAGGAUGGAGUCGUAGCGACCCACGACCCCUACUAGAAACAACUACUCCGAAAACCCACCCGAUUCGCUCUCGUGGCUUCCCUCCACCCUUCCUUCCAGCCCUUCUUUUUCUACAACCGCGACAGUCGUCCCAAAAGCCACUGGACCGACUUUAACGCCACCCAGGAGCUCGGGUUCUCCUCCUCCACGACAAUGACGUCCUUUGGUUCUACUCUUUUACUCUGGUGGUGUUUAUAUAAUUAGAGAUGAUCACUGUGGUGCAAUCCUGAAGAAUGAAGUACAAUCUAUUGAUGAAGCUACAAGUUGUUGACUUGAACCAGAGACGUCUAAUGGUUCAAGUUGUUUGCAACCUCCUUCAAAUAACUUAGGUUUUGCAUUUUGGUUUUUCAGCAAAACCCAGGGACAGUACUGGUGAAAGGAUCAUUACAGCAUAGAGAUAACCCAGUCUCAGGUUACAACCAUGAAGUUGCUCUAUCUCAAGCAAAAGGAUGUUUGAGCAGCGAUGCUUCAGUUGCACAUUUUUUCAUUCUCCUUGUUUGUCUUUUUUUGUCAUCACUGCGUUUGGAGCUACAUCUUUGAUUUUCUAAUUGACCAUACCUUUUCAUGUUUCCAGUUUCCUUUCCCCUUACCACACUGUACUCGAUAUGAACAUUAAGCUUUCAUGGUUAACAUUAUCCCAUUCUUUGGGAUUUGAUUG